GCUCCUUCCUGGGCUGGACACAUGCUGUCCCAUGCUUGACCAGGAAAACAGCAAGGCUCCCAGAAAAACAUCAGCAGAGCAGCCACCCACCCUGUUCACAUCUCGACACUUCACCAACACCUCCCCCUGCUUACAGUGAUGCUGUGCAGGGCAUUUCUGGCAUGACCUGCAAGGGUCUGGUGGCCACAGCAAUCAGUGCUGCCUGAGGGCUUCUGGCUAUCGAGGCUGGGGUCCCUUCUUGCUGUGUGUAUGAGCAAGUGACCUGUGCCAGGGACAGUGCCCCAGCCCAGGGCAGGGCUCCUGGGGCUGCUCUGAGUGUUCAUCACGUUCUUACUACCCGAGCACACAUUCUGGCAAGACAUUCAGCCUCCCCUUGACUCACAGAGCUGACAGCUCUCAAGUACGUCCCAAGGAUGAAUAAAAAGUGACAGAACAGGUAGUGAUUUCUGCAGUCAGCCAGAGUCUCUGUGAAGACAGUCUCAAAACUGUCUCACUGUCUUAGUGGCCAGAGGAUGCCUGUCACAGGCACUUGACCUGUAGGCAGAUGGUUACUGUCUGUCUAACACUGUCUUUUGGGGCUUGAUAGGCACUUCUAAAAUGCAGAUAGAUGGUGAGCCCUCACUGGGGGAAGGGGGCAGUGCUUGGCAGCUGAAUGCCAGCGUUAGGAUGUGCAGGGCAGGUUGCUGGGGAGCACGGCAUGUGUCUGUUAUCGGGGGCCAAUUUGACAGCCCCCAUCUGUAUUCACCCUGAGGCUGGCAGGGGUUUGCAGAGCAGGAUGGAAGAGCAGAAGUGUCACGGGGCUGAUGUCACCUGCCUGUGAUGUCACCACUGUCUUCUUCAGAGGAGCACUUCCAGUGAUAGCAGAGCUUCUGCAGUCUGUCUGCCAGGCUGGCACUCGCUCUGUAGAGCGUAAUUAAGGAAAUAUAUUAAUAGGUUGGGAGCCAGGGCCUGGGCAAUGUUCUUGUGUGACAGACAAAUGCAGAGACAAAGCAGACGCUCCCUUCAGAAGUCCUGCAGGAUGCUAUUAGCAGGCACAAACUCACAUCCCAUUAAUGCCAUUGCUGUUAGGCAACACCGAGUCAUUUACGUUUUAAACAAAGCUCCCAGACCAGCUCCAGUCCAGGAUCAGCUCCGGGAAACCUGCAAGGCUGUGUCUGCACCCAGGGAGCCUUGGGGUGUCCAGGAAUACCCUGCAAGUGAAAACAAACAUUGCAAGGGCUCAGCUUUUGUGCUGAUUGCAAAGCCACCCCACAGAGGUGACACGGGACAGGAACGAGAGCAUGGGGGAUGCUGGCAGGGCUCAUCUUUGCCAGGGUUUUUUUGAGGAUGGUGGAGUUGGUCUAAGUUGAUACUCCCUCAUGGGCCAUUAGUAACUUAAAUGUAGCCCAUGGGGUGGCCAGCAGGAAAGGACUCUGCCAGCUGCAUUUACAGGGACAGCUCCUGCACUCUGCAUCACUUACAAGCAGAACAUGUUGCCCAACUCCACUGAAACAGCUCUGAGAGCCCUGAAACUGCCAGUUUCCAAUCCCUGGCCUUACAUGAUGGUCUUAACAAACUAUGGCAUAAAUAUGCCAGGCAAGGGAAGGCAGCUUUCACAGAGGAUUGGGAAUGUCCUAAAACAAGGAAUGUGUUUUUCAGUGAAAGGGAGAUCUACUCAUUUGAAUGGACAGUGCUGCAGAAACAAACUGUUCAGAGGUGUUGGGAGGGGAGGAGAGGGGCACUGCAGCCAAAAACCAAGGGGCUAAUUGUGUAAGGCUGGUGAGGAGAUGCCUUGGUCUGAGCCACCGGUGUGCUAAUGGGGAGGUUGCUUAGUUACAGUGUCAAUGGUACCUCAGCAGCCCCAGGUAGGGGAGGGAGAGCCCAGCGUAAACAGCCAGGAGGAAGAAGGGUCAUUAAACUGUUCCCUAAAGACCCCUAACUAGUGCUGGUUGGAGGAAAUAAAUAAGGAGGAAAAGUUGGUCUAAGUGCCAGGGAGGAAGCCAAGCUGUUCAGGAGAUGGCUUGUCUGCUGCCUGAAACCACCUCUUGUCACUAAUUUCAGCUGGAGACUUUUCCGUAGCGUGGUCUCAGCCCUCAAGCAUUCCUGGCUUUUUUGUCUCUCUUCCACUUUCUCAUUUAAUUCCUUCUCCUUGGAGGUGGAGGCUGAGAGCUCUGGUGUGAGGGGGGCCGCGGUGCAGCCGGGGAAGCGGAAGGGUGCCUGGGGAUGGGAGCACACACGUGUUGCCCCUUCACAUGUGCCUCAGGCCUUUCAGGAAGAGCGGCCAGGUGGCUUUAUGUGACCUUUCCUCUGUGGGCAAACAUCACCCAAGCUGACCUGAGCCUGCAGCCUGUGGUACACAUUAACAGAAAAUCACGGGCCAAGCUGUGCCUGUGUCCUGGUCCUGUCCAGCAGGGGACAGUGGGCAGGGAGAAAAUCACGGCUACUUACAGGAGAGACCUUUUAUAAUCCACAGAAUACAAAGGACCCAAACCACCAAGAACUGCUUCCACGUGUGGCUUUGGAAAAAAACCACACCGACUAUUUCAGCUGGCAGGCUCCAAGGGUGAAAAUCACACAAAAGACACUGGGGAGCCAGACUGAGAAAUAAUAAUAACACUAGUAAUAAUAACAACAGUAACAAUAAUAAUAAUAAUAAACUAUUUUCUGUAUUUGAAGAAAA
This is a long non-coding RNA of Haemorhous mexicanus (house finch), 2659 nucleotides long. RefSeq lists it as uncharacterized. The record is from RefSeq and is a predicted model, not a curated record. NCBI's taxonomy places the organism in Eukaryota, Metazoa, Chordata, Aves, Passeriformes, Fringillidae. The transcript is spliced from 2 exons.